Molecule: ribosomal RNA, 154 nt
Filed under: Phellinus ribis f. ulicis
Lineage: Eukaryota; Fungi; Basidiomycota; Agaricomycetes; Hymenochaetales; Hymenochaetaceae
Description: 5.8S ribosomal RNA
Rfam family: 5.8S ribosomal RNA
About the family: 5.8S ribosomal RNA (5.8S rRNA) is a component of the large subunit of the eukaryotic ribosome. It is transcribed by RNA polymerase I as part of the 45S precursor that also contains 18S and 28S rRNA. Functionally, it is thought that 5.8S rRNA may be involved in ribosome translocation.
Source: RNAcentral
AACUUUCAACAACGGAUCUCUUGGCUCUCGCAUCGAUGAAGAACGCAGCGAAAUGCGAUAAGUAAUGUGAAUUGCAGAAUUCAGUGAAUCAUCGAAUUUUUGAACGCACCUUGCGCCCUUUGGUAUUCCGAAGGGCAUGCCUGUUUGAGUGUCA